Molecule: small nuclear RNA, 107 nt
Organism: Perognathus longimembris pacificus (Pacific pocket mouse)
Lineage: Eukaryota; Metazoa; Chordata; Mammalia; Rodentia; Heteromyidae
Source: RefSeq, a predicted model, not a curated record
GUGCUCGCUUCAGCAGGACAUAUACUAAAAUUGGAACGAUACAGAGAAGAUUAGCAUGAACCCUGCCCAAGAAUGAUAGGCAAAUUUGUGAAUCAUUCCAUAUUUUA